UGAGGAAUAUUGGUCAAUGGGCGAGAGCCUGAACCAGCCAAGUAGCGUGCAGGAUGACGGCCCUCCGGGUUGUAAACUGCUUUUAGUUGGGAAUAAAAAAAGGGACUUGUCCCUUCUUGUAUGUACCUUCAGAAAAAGGACCGGCUAAUUCCGUGCCAGCAGCCGCGGUAAUACGGAAGGUCCAGGCGUUAUCCGGAUUUAUUGGGUUUAAAGGGAGCGUAGGCGGAUUGUUAAGUCAGCGGUUAAAGGGUGUGGCUCAACCAUGCAUUGCCGUUGAAACUGGCGAUCUUGAGUGCAGACAGGGAUGCCGGAAUUCGUGGUGUAGCGGUGAAAUGCUUAGAUAUCACGAAGAACUCCGAUCGCGAAGGCAGGUGUCCGGGCUGCAACUGACGCUGAGGCUCGAAAGUGUGGGUAUCAAACAGGAUUAGAUACCCUGGUAGUCCACACAGUAAACGAUGUAUACUCGCGGUUUGCGAUAGACAGUAAGCCGCCNAGCGAAAGCAUUAAGUAUACCACCUGGGGAGUACGCCGGCNACGGU
This 539-nucleotide ribosomal RNA is filed under the name uncultured bacterium. RNAcentral's name for it is "bacterial SSU rRNA". It matches the Rfam family "Bacterial small subunit ribosomal RNA", at positions 355 to 895 of the family's 1533-position model. The record is from RNAcentral.